Long non-coding RNA from Fukomys damarensis (Damara mole-rat), 1670 nucleotides. NCBI's taxonomy places the organism in Eukaryota, Metazoa, Chordata, Mammalia, Rodentia, Bathyergidae. The record is from Ensembl.
GCAAUGCAGGGACAUCCUUCAUGUCACAUACUCAAGCCAGAAGAAUCCUUGACUGUCUCCGACCUCCACCAGCAUGUGUUCGCUUGCAAAUGCAUUCCGCGAGUGUCUUCUCUCCGUCUCCAUUGUCACGUCUCCAAUACAAGCCGUGAUCUUCUGUUACCUCAUGUACACAACUGCUUCCUGAUCUGCCCCUGCUUUUGCUUGUAGCAGAAAAAUGCCUCAGUCUUCUACCAGUUGGAGUGUGCAACUGCUUCUUGGCUUGUCUCUGGUUUUUCCAUGUAGCAGAAAAGGUCCCUCUCUAUUUUUCCCUUCUUUGGUUUUUAUCACUUUCCAAGCAGAGAGACAGACUUCAUAACCCCACGUUUGGGGUUGACAGAAAGCAGCCAUUCCGACGUCUGCGUUUGCAGAAGUCUGACUCAGAGGUAACUUCCUGCUGAGUGCCCUGCCGGGUGGAGAGCGAGCCUGGACACGGAAGCAGAGCCGGAGCUGAAAUUCCCUCAGCCUGGGGAGGGGCAGAGUUCUGUGGCUCCUGGAGAAUGAGAACACCCAAGCCUCCAGCUUCUUAUUCACUGAAAAAAAAAGCAAAACGUCUUUCGCCCAUCCAGGAGACUUGUCCUCGACAUUGGUCCUUGUGCAGAGCAGGGCCGAGAAUGGAUCCAGGAGGAGAGACAAAGAAAUAUUCCAGGCAGCUGCACACAGAUUUCUGUCUGCUCUCUCCUCGCCACUGUAGACCAGCCACGUUACUACCUCCUUCCUACAGUGGCUCACAUUACUGGCAGUGGCAAGAUGAUCUUUUCAGCAUUUCAGGACUCUUAGCUUUUCCUUUCUAAUCCCUGGAAUGAAUUCCCAGCUUCAGGAGGACUCCUGGGCAGAUGGUCUCACUGUGGCUCGUCCAGCCUCGGGGCCUUUGCUUUUGGCCUUGCUCUGCACAGUCGCAGGACCAGGAGAGGAGCGAGAAGAACCCUGGGGGAUCUGCGCUCAGCCCUUGUUGCUUGGACCGGCAAGAGGCAUUUCUAGGACAUUCUUAUGGUUGUUUGUCCAGCCAAUCAACGUGCCCUGGCCUUGAAGGCCCAGCACCCUCUCUGCCAAGAAGCCACUGAGGGCUGCCCAGUCUGCGCUUGGACAUGGAGCUGUGGUUCUCCUCUUUCAUCACUGAUUGCCUUGUUUUUAGCUGCUUCCUGGCUGGGAGUCCUUUCCCCUGACCAGAAAACAAGGUCCUUUUUCUUAGCUUUCCCUUCAGCAGAGUACUGGGAAUGUGAAAGCAAUAAUUUUGUUUUUAAAUUACAUCCUUUGAUUAUAGUUCAAUGACUUAAUCAUAGUUAUUAAAUAACUAACGAUCUGCCUAGCCUGAUACUUGUGGCAUAAUAACGAAAACCCCACACAGGCUUUGGGAUCAGAUAGCCUGGGCUUAUUUAUACAUUUUUGUAAAAUAAAUCUUUGUUGAAUUUACUCUAGUGAAAGAAAUUCUUACUGUGUGUCCCACACAGCUUGGGGUCAAUGGUCUGUCCAGGUGGAGCAAGGGCCUUUCCGAAGGACGCUUAAACUACUUCUGGGCUGCUGCCCACUUCCCUUGUCACACAGUAGCGUCCAGGCCACACUGACUCCUUUAUAAAGAUUACUUUUAAAUCAAAACCUGAGCCUCUGAACAUCUUUCUCCAGCUCCACUGUGC